CCUACGGGAGGCAGCAGUGGGGAAUUUUGGACAAUGGGGGGAACCCUGAUCCAGCCAUUCCGCGUGUGCGAUGAAGGCCUUCGGGUUGUAAAGCACUUUUGGCAGGAAAGAAAUCGCACGGAUUAAUACUUUGUGUGGAUGACGGUACCUGCAGAAUAAGCACCGGCUAACUACGUGCCAGCAGCCGCGGUAAUACGUAGGGUGCGAGCGUUAAUCGGAAUUACUGGGCGUAAAGCGUGCGCAGGCGGUUCGGAAAGAGAGGUGUGAAAUCCCAGGGCUUAACCUUGGAACUGCACUUUUAACUCCCGAGCUAGAGUAUGUCAGAGGGGGGCGGAAUUCCGCGUGUAGCAGUGAAAUGCGUAGAUAUGCGGAGGAACACCGAUGGCGAAGGCAGCCCCCUGGGAUGAUACUGACGCUCAUGCACGAAAGCGUGGGGAGCAAACAGGAUUAGAUACCCUGGUAGUCCACGCCCUAAACGAUGUCAACUAGCUGUUGGGGGCUUCGGCCCUUAGUAGCGCAGCUAACGCGUGAAGUUGACCGCCUGGGGAGUACGGUCGCAAGAUUAAAACNCAAAGGAAUUGACGG
RNAcentral lists this ribosomal RNA (585 nucleotides) under uncultured bacterium. RNAcentral's name for it is "bacterial SSU rRNA". It matches the Rfam family "Bacterial small subunit ribosomal RNA", at positions 338 to 916 of the family's 1533-position model. The record is from RNAcentral.